This 77-nucleotide transfer RNA is filed under the name Chloroflexota bacterium. Its description in RNAcentral is "Chloroflexi bacterium tRNA-Met". It matches the Rfam family "tRNA". Rfam says of the family: Transfer RNA (tRNA) molecules are approximately 80 nucleotides in length. Their secondary structure includes four short double-helical elements and three loops (D, anti-codon, and T loops). Further hydrogen bonds mediate the characteristic L-shaped molecular structure. tRNAs have two regions of fundamental functional importance: the anti-codon, which is responsible for specific mRNA codon recognition, and the 3' end, to which the tRNAs corresponding amino acid is attached (by aminoacyl-tRNA synthetases). tRNAs cope with the degeneracy of the genetic code in two manners: having more than one tRNA (with a specific anti-codon) for a particular amino acid; and 'wobble' base-pairing, i.e. permitting non-standard base-pairing at the 3rd anti-codon position. Lineage: Bacteria; Bacillati; Chloroflexota. The record is from RNAcentral.
GGUGGGGUAGCUCAGAUGGUUAGAGCGUGGGAUUCAUAACCCCAAGGUCGAGGGUUCGACUCCCUCCCCCACCACCA